Molecule: ribosomal RNA, 301 nt
Filed under: uncultured bacterium
Lineage: Bacteria
Description: partial 16S ribosomal RNA
Rfam family: Bacterial small subunit ribosomal RNA
Source: RNAcentral
CAGCAGCCGCGGGAAAACGUAGGGCGCAAGCGUUGUCCGGAAUUAUUGGGCGUAAAGAGCUCGUAGGCGGUCUGUCGCGUCUGGUGUGAAAUCCCGAGGCUCAACCUCGGGCUUGCAUCGGGUACGGGCAGACUAGAGUGCGGUAGGGGAGACUGGAAUUCCUGGUGUAGCGGUGGAAUGCGCAGAUAUCAGGAGGAACACCGAUGGCGAAGGCAGGUCUCUGGGCCGCAACUGACGCUGAGGAGCGAAAGCAUGGGGAGCGAACAGGAUUAGAUACCCGCGUAGUCCCUGUCUCUUAUAA